UAGGGAAUCUUCCACAAUGGGACGCAAGUCUGAUGGAGCAACGCCGCGUGAGUGAAGAAGGUCUUCGGAUCGUAAAACUCUGUUGUUAGAGAGGAACACGAGUGAGAGUAACUGUUCAUUCGAUGACGGUAUCUAACCAGCAAGUCACGGCUAACUACGUGCCAG
This 165-nucleotide ribosomal RNA is filed under the name uncultured bacterium. RNAcentral describes it as "partial 16S rRNA". It matches the Rfam family "Bacterial small subunit ribosomal RNA", at positions 355 to 511 of the family's 1533-position model. The record is from RNAcentral.